AAACCAUAAAGAGAGAUUGAGGGACAGGCCCUAUGAUAUCUCAGCAACCUGCAGAAUGUGUGGUGCUAACGCCUGAAUGAUGGAAG
This 86-nucleotide non-coding RNA is filed under the name Fusobacterium necrophorum. RNAcentral describes it as "SAM-I sequence". It matches the Rfam family "SAM riboswitch aptamer (S box leader)". From Rfam's summary of the family: The SAM riboswitch is found upstream of a number of genes which code for proteins involved in methionine or cysteine biosynthesis in Gram-positive bacteria. Lineage: Bacteria; Fusobacteriati; Fusobacteriota; Fusobacteriia; Fusobacteriales; Fusobacteriaceae. The record is from RNAcentral.